AAAAUAAUACGAUGUUCAGGUGCUAGAUAGCUUAAUAGGGAAAUGAGGUAUUCCUCUGCAGCCCCCGCUACUGUAAAAGAUGACGAUUUCGUUGAUGCCACUGCUUUUUUUAAAAGUGGGAAGGUACGAAAGAGGUUGAUUCUUAGCCAGGAGACCUGCCUGUACAUGCAUGAUACU
Molecule: non-coding RNA, 177 nt
Filed under: Acetoanaerobium sticklandii
Lineage: Bacteria; Bacillati; Bacillota; Clostridia; Peptostreptococcales; Filifactoraceae
Also listed under: 1 other name
Source: RNAcentral